Molecule: long non-coding RNA, 1351 nt
Organism: Dama dama (fallow deer)
Lineage: Eukaryota; Metazoa; Chordata; Mammalia; Artiodactyla; Cervidae
Exons: 4
Source: RefSeq, a predicted model, not a curated record
CGUUGCGGAGCAAGAAAUGUAGUCCAAGUAGUCCAGGCUCAGGGCUUCCCUUGACUACUUUACUGAUAAUCGUUAGUAACGGCAUUAUUCCAGCCGUCAUCACACUGGAUCCUUUCAAGGAGGCAAGGGUCCGAUUAUUACUCCCGUUCAACAGGUGACACAGAUGAAAAGUGAACCUGGGGACACAUGCAGAAACCUGGUCUCAUCAGAGGUGAGCAAGAGCCAGAGAAACAAUGGAAGCCCAGCUUCAUUUUGCAACUGAAGAUCCACCUGGCCUUGCUUGGUGCCUUGCUCCCUACCCCAGGCCUCUCUGUCCGCUGUGCUGAAUCUUAGUCACCAUAUAUGAGAUCUUCUUUUCUGUGGCAUGUGGGAUCUAGUUCCCUGACCAGGAAUCAAACCCAGAAAGGACCCCCUACAUUGGGACUGUGGAGUCUUCACCAAUGGACCACAAGGCAAGUCCCAGCAAUUUGUAUUUUAACGAGCUUGUUAGGUGAUUCUGAUGCCCACUGAUGUGUAAGAACCAAUGAUUUAAAUUAACUUGAGCCCCAGACGUAGGUUAUUUGCUGCUCACAGUCUCCAUUACAGUGGUUCUUAACCUUGAAUACAUAUUGGAAUCACUUUAAAAAAAAAUGCUUAUGUCUCCUUCCCACAGCCAGGUAUUCUGAUAUAAUGGGCCUGGACUAGACCUGCUCAAGAAGAUUUUGAAAAGGCCCAGCUUAUUCACAUGUACAUUUAAGUUGGAGUUCUAGCUGCAAGGGAUACCAGAGGCUAAUGCUGGGGUCUACGUGUAAAAGUGAUGUUUGUCAGACCAGGGCUGUGGCCAUGGCGAUGGAUACUUACAAGAUCGACUAGAGACAAGAGGGAAGGGGGCAGGGCACAGCCAUUAAAAAGAUGGCAUAGCCACUGAGGAUACAACAAAAACUGGUUAGAACCAACUAGACUCGAGAUGGCAGAAGAUUUAACUAACUUCCAGUGGACCUGGAGCCUCACAAUACAGCUCGCUCAUUGAGAUAGGUUCGCAUAUGCUACAUGACAGACUCACCCAAACCACGAAGUGGGCGGGUAGUCCAAUUUCUGGAAAUCUCCACCCCUUCCCCCGAAACAGUUGGAGUAACCCUCCCACUUGUUAGCCUGUGGAAUUACCCAGCCCAUAAAAACGAACCCCCCAGAUUCCGGGGAGCUCUCAUUUUCCCACUUGACCCCUGCCCUGAGGCGGCUCUCACCUUCUGAGACAGACCAGGCUCCUGCUGGCUCGUGCUGUCUAGGGAAUGUGCGCAUGGGUGCGUGCUCAGCUGCUGAGUCGUGUCCAGCUCUAUCCGGUGGACUGUAGCCCACCAGGCUUCUCUGUCCG